This 253-nucleotide ribosomal RNA is filed under the name uncultured bacterium. RNAcentral's name for it is "partial 16S ribosomal RNA". It matches the Rfam family "Bacterial small subunit ribosomal RNA", at positions 524 to 776 of the family's 1533-position model. The record is from RNAcentral.
UACGGAGGGUCCAAGCGUUAUCCGGAUUUAUUGGGUUUAAAGGGUCCGCAGGCGGGAAAAUAAGUCAGUGGUGAAAUCCUACAGCUUAACUGUAGAACUGCCUUUGAUACUGUUUUUCUUGAGUAUAAUUGAAGUGGGCGGAAUGUGUCAUGUAGCGGUGAAAUGCAUAGAUAUGACACAGAACACCGAUUGCGAAGGCGGCUCACUAAACUAUAACUGACGCUCAUGGACGAAAGCGUGGGGAGCAAACAGG